Molecule: non-coding RNA, 340 nt
Organism: Lactuca sativa (garden lettuce)
Lineage: Eukaryota; Viridiplantae; Streptophyta; Magnoliopsida; Asterales; Asteraceae
Source: RefSeq, a predicted model, not a curated record
AUGACAGGAUGUUGCUUCAUUCUGAAGUUGAAAGGAAGUCUCUUCCUCAUCCAGAAAGACCAGAUCGUCUUCGAGCAAUUGCUGCCAGCCUGGCAACUGCAGUUAUUUGCUAGGUACAUUAAUCUUUAUGUUUGAUGGAUCAUGGGUCGUGGGUCAUGGGUCAUGGGUCAUGGGUCAUGGGUCAGGUGCGUCCUCCAGGUCAUCAUGCUGGAGUGAGACAAGCAAUGGGAUUCUGUCUGCAUAACAAUGCAGCCAUUGUUGCAUCAGCAGCACAAGCUGCAGGAGCAAAAAAAAGUCUUGAUUGUUGAUUGGGUAAUAAUCUUUGUAAUUAAAAAAAAAA